GGUGUUGUAGCUCAGUGGUAGAGAGCUCACUUAGCACAUGUGAGGCCCUGGGUUCGAUCCCCAGCACCACAU
RNAcentral lists this transfer RNA (72 nucleotides) under Ictidomys tridecemlineatus (thirteen-lined ground squirrel). RNAcentral describes it as "Spermophilus tridecemlineatus (thirteen-lined ground squirrel) tRNA". It matches the Rfam family "tRNA". From Rfam's summary of the family: Transfer RNA (tRNA) molecules are approximately 80 nucleotides in length. Their secondary structure includes four short double-helical elements and three loops (D, anti-codon, and T loops). The record is from Rfam by way of RNAcentral. Lineage: Eukaryota; Metazoa; Chordata; Mammalia; Rodentia; Sciuridae.